AGGAAAGUUUAAUCUGUGGAGGGGGAGGCCCCCAUCAAGCGAAGCCACAGAGAGCUUCUCUUGGUAGAGUGGGCGGGGAGAAUCUGAUUAAUUUUUUUUGGGGGAAAGUAGAAACUUAGUAUGCUACCUCGGGAAACAGGGCUUCGGACGGGAUGAUUGAGGAUGUUUAUGUGGGGGAAAGACCAGGGAUCCGUAGUGGUUGAGAGGAACACCACACUGGAUUGAGCACGUCCAAUCUCGGAGGCACAUGGGGAAUAUUGACAAUGGGCGCAACUGAUCCACAUCGCUGGUGAGAAGCUUGGGUUGUAACCCUUUUGUUGGGAAAAAAUCCAGCCGGUWAUACCGGUUGGGAUGCGGUACCCAAAGAAUACACCGGUAACUUGUGCCACACCGGGAAACGAAGGGUGCAAGCGUUCUGGAAUUCUGGGCGUAAACGUGCGUAGGUGGUCGUUUAAGUUGUUGUGAAAGCCCUGGCUCAACCUGGAACUGCAGUGGAAACUGGACGAUAGWGUGUGGUAGAGGGUAGCGGAAUUCUGGUGUAGCAGUGAAAUGCGUAGAGAUCAGGAGGAACAUCCAUGGGAAGGCAGCUACCUGGACCAACACUGACACUGAGGCACGAAAGCGUGGGGAGCAAACAGGAUUAGAUACCCGGUAGUCCACGCCCUAAACGAUGCGAACUGGAUGUUGGGUGCAAUUUGGCACGCAGUAUCGAAGCUAAGUAAGUUCGCCGCCUGGGGAGUACGGUCGCAAGCCGUUUCAAWKGAUUGACGGGGCCCGCCAGCGAGGCUUCAGACAUCAGCUCC
RNAcentral lists this ribosomal RNA (803 nucleotides) under uncultured Xanthomonas sp. RNAcentral's name for it is "bacterial SSU rRNA". The stretch from base 188 to 803 matches the Rfam family "Bacterial small subunit ribosomal RNA", at positions 1 to 953 of the family's 1533-position model. Lineage: Bacteria; Pseudomonadati; Pseudomonadota; Gammaproteobacteria; Lysobacterales; Lysobacteraceae. The record is from RNAcentral.